CCUACGGGAGGCAGCAGUGGGGAAUUUUGGACAAUGGGGGCAACCCUGAUCCAGCCAUUCCGCGUGAGUGAAGAAGGCCUUCGGGUUGUAAAGCUCUUUCGCAAGGGAAGAAAACUUAUGAUCGAAUAAAUCAUGAGGUUGACGGUACCUUGAUAAGAAGCACCGGCUAACUACGUGCCAGCAGCCGCGGUAAUACGUAGGGUGCGAGCGUUAAUCGGAAUUACUGGGCGUAAAGCGUGCGCAGGCGGUUUUGUAAGUCGGAUGUGAAAUCCCCGGGCUCAACCUGGGAACUGCGUUCGAAACUGCAAGGCUAGAGUGUGUCAGAGGGGGGUAGAAUUCCACGUGUAGCAGUGAAAUGCGUAGAGAUGUGGAGGAAUACCAAUGGCGAAGGCAGCCCCCUGGGAUAACACUGACGCUCAUGCACGAAAGCGUGGGGAGCAAACAGGAUUAGAUACCCUGGUAGUCCACGCCCUAAACGAUGUCAACUAGUUGUUGGUAGAGUAAAAUCUAUGAGUAACGUAGCUAACGCGUGAAGUUGACCGCCUGGGGAGUACGGUCGCAAGNUUAAAACNCAAAGGAAUUGACGGNUGAGCGNGCGAGACGACGACGAGGGAGAGG
This 618-nucleotide ribosomal RNA is filed under the name uncultured bacterium. RNAcentral describes it as "bacterial SSU rRNA". It matches the Rfam family "Bacterial small subunit ribosomal RNA", at positions 338 to 947 of the family's 1533-position model. The record is from RNAcentral.